GGUUGUUAACGUACAGUAUGGCGGACGAUGUAGAAGGCAGUAGCGGUGGUGAAGGGGGUGGUCCGUCUUUGGAUGAGGAGGAGGCGGCCGGGCUCGCUCGUUUCGGCGUUGGCGGUUUAGUUUUUAAUGUCUGUCUGUUGGUACUGGCUGUACUCGGGGUCUACAGGCUGUACAAGAGAAGGAGGGGCGGUGCGGAGACGGAGUGCAAAGAGCCCGCGCUGCCCAAGAUGAAGAAGCGCGACUUCAGUCUGGAACAGUUGCGGGAAUACGACGGGAUUCAGAACCCGCGGCUCUUGCUCGCCGUCAACGGCAAAGUUUUCGAUGUGACCAAAGGGAAGAAAUUCUAUGGACCCGAUGGCCCGUAUGGUAUAUUUGCUGGCCGCGAUGCUUCAAGAGGGCUGGCUACUUUCUGCCUGGAUAAAGAAGCUCUGAGGGAUGAAUUUGAUGAUCUUUCUGAUUUAAGUGCUGUACAAAUGGAAAGUGUUAGAGAAUGGGAAAUGCAAUUCAUGGUGGUGCAUCAAACGGCAGGCGCAAUGGCCGCCCCAUUAUGAUUUCGUGGGGGGACAAUCCAGUAGUCCUAUUGGCUGUGGCCCUAAUGGUCAUAGGGACCAAAGAAAAGUAUGAUUACAUAGGCCGACUGCUGAAACCAUGGGAUGAACCAUCGGAAUAUACAGAUGAGGAAGAUGUUAAAGAGCAUUCAAAACAGGACUAAAACUGUUCAGCAACCAAAGCAAGAGCCUUCAGUGCUGCAACCCAUUUUCAGAUUUCUGGAGCUUUUGUUUUCUUUAUGAGCUACAAAUGAUAGAAUGUAAAAUAUAUUUUGCAUUCAAAGUAAAUACUCUUGUGUGGAGAAUUAAAUUAAAAUAUCCAGUAAAUGCUGCCAAAAUUGUUUUGUGGUUGUUAUAACAAGUUGGGUAUGGUUGCGCCUAUGUUGGCAGGGAAAAAUGCCCAGGUGUUGUUUUAAGUUGUUCUUUUUGUUUGUUUGCCAGUGGAUAAGGGGAUUAGGAGACAAUGUGCUGAAGCCAUCCAAUAUUACUAAUGUUUCAGGAUUAUUUGAACUGGGUGUUACCAGGUAAGGCCUUGGUCUUGGAAUCUUUGAUUUGAGCAUUUUGUAAUGUACAGCAUUGCAAACAAUUGCCGAUGAUCUUGCUUUUACAGUAACAGUAAGUAGUAAGCGCUACUGAAAGCUAAGGUUUAGAAUUGAUUUUCUUUGAAUACUCUGCACAGUAGUUUUAAAGAUAUUUUCC
Molecule: RNA transcript, 1247 nt
Organism: Mobula hypostoma (lesser devil ray)
Lineage: Eukaryota; Metazoa; Chordata; Chondrichthyes; Myliobatiformes; Myliobatidae
Gene name: membrane-associated progesterone receptor component 2-like
Exons: 4
Source: RefSeq, a predicted model, not a curated record